GGGCGUGUAGCUCAGUGGAUAGAGCACCAGAUUCCGGUUCUGGGUGUCGGGAGUUCGACUCUCUCCACGCUCG
This 73-nucleotide transfer RNA is filed under the name Cyanobacteria bacterium J083. Its description in RNAcentral is "tRNA-Arg". It matches the Rfam family "tRNA". From Rfam's summary of the family: Transfer RNA (tRNA) molecules are approximately 80 nucleotides in length. Lineage: Bacteria; Bacillati; Cyanobacteriota. The record is from RNAcentral. RNAcentral also lists the same sequence under 5 other names.